GAUGAACGCUGGCGGCGUGCUUAACACAUGCAAGUCGAGCGAUUCUCUUCGGAGAAGAGCGGCGGACGGGUGAGUAACGCGUGGGUAACCUGCCCUGUACACACGGAUAACAUACCGAAAGGUAUGCUAAUACGAGAUAAUAUGCUUUUAUCGCAUGGUAGAAGUAUCAAAGCUUUUGCGGUACAGGAUGGACCCGCGUCUGAUUAGCUAGUUGGUAAGGUAACGGCUUACCAAGGCGACGAUCAGUAGCCGACCUGAGAGGGUGAUCGGCCACAUUGGAACUGAGACACGGUCCAAACUCCUACGGGAGGCAGCAGUGGGGAAUAUUGCACAAUGGGCGAAAGCCUGAUGCAGCAACGCCGCGUGAGCGAUGAAGGCCUUCGGGUCGUAAAGCUCUGUCCUCAAGGAAGAUAAUGACGGUACUUGAGGAGGAAG
This 435-nucleotide ribosomal RNA is filed under the name uncultured bacterium. RNAcentral describes it as "bacterial SSU rRNA". It matches the Rfam family "Bacterial small subunit ribosomal RNA", at positions 28 to 490 of the family's 1533-position model. The record is from RNAcentral.